RNAcentral lists this long non-coding RNA (419 nucleotides) under Homo sapiens (human). RNAcentral describes it as "non-protein coding lnc-GALNT12-3:2". The record is from RNAcentral. Lineage: Eukaryota; Metazoa; Chordata; Mammalia; Primates; Hominidae.
ACUGAAAUGGCUGUGGUUUUGAUCAGCGGGGAAUACAGUCCUAGAGGGAUCUGAUAAAUCCCCUAACCUAGACCUGCUCAGAGUGGAGCCCUAGAAUUUGCACUGUUACCAAGAACCUCUGACUACCCCAAGGCAGUCACUAUAUAUCUCAUCACCCUGUUUCCUUCUGUCAUCGCCAAGUUUCCUUACUACAGUCUUAUCUUAAGGGCCAGACUGCUUGAGUUAAAAUCCUGGCCCUACUACUUACUAGCUGUGAGUCCUUGUGCAAGUUAGAUAGCUUUUCUGUGCCUCAGUUCCAUUAUCUAUAAAAUGGGGAUAAGGUACCUAAAGCAUAGAGUGGAUUUAAAAAUUAAAAGAGUUCACGCAGAAAAAUACUAAGAACAGUGUCUAGCACAUGGCAGACCCUCCAUAUACAACCU